UGCACUCGCAUAGGACGGAGCUUGCAGACGCAGUAAAGUUUCGGCUGCUUCGUCCUCCUUGUUCGGCACCGGAAAAUGACCCAACCCACCUAGGAGGCCCGCCCAGCCGCCUAGCGCCCGCCUAGCCGCCUAGCGCCCGCCUAGCCGCCUAGCGCCCGCCUAGCCCCAUUGUUUGAACACUGCGAUUGACUGAAAGUCUGCAACCCGAAAUUGAAAAUGUUUACCUGCAAAUUUGAGCUUGAGAUUGAGAUUUGGAAGCCGAAGCAAGCACAAGUCAUGGGAACC
This 285-nucleotide long non-coding RNA is filed under the name Prunus persica (peach). RNAcentral describes it as "long non-coding RNA (PPER_LNC001692)". The record is from RNAcentral. Lineage: Eukaryota; Viridiplantae; Streptophyta; Magnoliopsida; Rosales; Rosaceae.